CAAAGCCUUCCAGUAAAAGCCCAGCUGGCUGAUGCCUUAAUUUGGGGUUUGUGAAACCAGGAGCAGAGACACCAACUGAAGCAGCCUAGCUUUCUGAACUACAGAACAGUCCAUCACUCCCUCAGAUCCCUCUAAGACAUCUGCAAAAAGGAACAAUGAUUCUUUUAAAAGCCAGCCAGUCUUCCCGCUGAGCAUGCAAGUUCUGCCACUUAUGGCUGGAGGUUACUUCCUGUGUGCCAUCCUUACCCAACUGAAGGUGUCUGACUGAUGCUCUGUGUUGGCUCUCAUAUCCAGCUGGACUACUAAAUCAACUGGAGACCUCAAAUUGACUAUAUUCUGAAAGAAGAAGCAGACAACAUCUGAAUACACUGCUUUCCUGAAAGUCAGGACCAGGACCCCUGGUGCAGGAGUGGUGACUGAUAUGCAGAGGACAAUGCAGAAGGAAGUCAAUGCUCCCAGCAAAAGUCAGGCUCAGGAACUGGAGGCUGUUUGCUCCUUAGAUAAGAGAGGCUCCAUUUGAAUCAGGAUUCCAGAGGAAAAGCAAGGAUGUACAAUGCCUUCUAGAAGGAGAAUAAGGAGUGGACGUAUCUUAAUGCAGCUUCUCAUGAGAUAGCAAGAGGAACACAUCUUUGCCCCUAGCAUCAGCAAGCUUGAGUGCCAGUGCCUUCAAGUAUCAUUGUUAUCAUGUGGUGUCAUUAUUAAUAAUGGCUAGUUGUUUACCCUGUACCUGCUAGGUAACAUGUCCUAAUAAAGGUUACAGAAUCUCA
Molecule: long non-coding RNA, 767 nt
Organism: Herpailurus yagouaroundi (jaguarundi)
Lineage: Eukaryota; Metazoa; Chordata; Mammalia; Carnivora; Felidae
Exons: 5
Source: RefSeq, a predicted model, not a curated record